AUUGAACGCUGGCGGCAGGCCUAACACAUGCAAGUCGAGCGGAUGAAGGGAGCUUGCUCCUGGACUCAGCGUCGGACGGGUGAGUAAUGCCUAGGAAUCUGCCUGGUAGUGGGGGAUAACGUCCGGAAACGGGCGCUAAUACCGCAUACGUCCUGAGGGAGAAAGUGGGGGAUCUUCGGACCUCACGCUCUCAGAUGAGCCUAGGUCGGAUUAGCUAGCUGGUGGGGUAAAGGCCUACCUAGGCGACGAUCCGUAACUGGUCUGAGAGGAUGAUCAGUCACACUGGAAGUGAGACACGGUCCAGACUCCUACGGGAGGCAGCAGUGGGGAAUAUUGGGCAAUGGGCGAAAGCCUGAUCCAGCGGUGGCACGUGUGUGAAGGAGGUCUUCGGAUUGUAAAGCACGUUAAGUUGGGAGAAAGGGCAGUAGGUUAAUACCUUGCUGUAUUGACGGUACCAGCAGAAUAAGCACCGGCUAACUACGUG
This 484-nucleotide ribosomal RNA is filed under the name uncultured bacterium. Its description in RNAcentral is "partial 16S ribosomal RNA". It matches the Rfam family "Bacterial small subunit ribosomal RNA", at positions 30 to 507 of the family's 1533-position model. The record is from RNAcentral.